CCCGGGCGUUCCUUUCGUGUCCCCUUGAAAGCCCGGUCCUUGGGCUUGGAAUGAGACGGUUUGGGUAAUUAUGGGAGUGUGGCGAGGCUCAUGCCUGCUUUGGUCAGUAGAAUACAGCUGAAGUGAUGUUGUACCAGUUUUGCGUCUGGUCUUUACAAGCACUGGUAGCUUCAACUUUCUCCUUCUUGGUACUCACCCACCAUGUUGUAAGGAAACCCAAACAGCCACGUGGAAGACAGUUCUAGUUGAGCUCCCAGCCCAGAGCCUAUCCCAACUCUCCAGCCAUACCCUGACUUCCUUCAGCAAAGAGACAGCUUCUGAUUCAUGUUCGUCUCACCAUAAUAUACUUCCAAAAGUUACACUAGAUGUUAACUGAGCACUAAGGACACUACGUGAAAGACUGGAGUACAAACAUCCAAAGGACUGAAGAAUUUGAAGAGCACUGAAUGUGGGAGAUAGGACAGAGGAAAGGAGUCAAAUGUCUCCAAGAAACGAAGCCUGUGUGCCCUGGAGAAUGAAGAAGCAUCAUCAAAUCGGGGAGACUGAAGGAGGAAUCGGUUUUCAGAGAAAAACAAUUUAUAUUGUCUUAGCUGUGUUAGGUGGCAUACUAUUACAUUCAAGUGAAGCUGUGUAAUAGACAGAGAUGACAAAUUUUAUUCAUUUAUGAAUGCCCCCCAAAAUAUAUAUAUAGUUUUUGCCCUCAUGUCUCUUAUUGGGAUGACAGACAUAAAUCAAAGAAUUCCAUAAAUAAAUAUUAAAAUACAAUUUGUGAUAAAUGCUACAAAGUGGUACAUAUUCAUAUGGAAGCAUAAAGAGAACUGACCCGCUUGAGGAAGCUGGCAGUGAGAGCUGAAGGUAAGAGCAAGAGUUGACUAGGAGACAAGAUGGGGAAAGUUCUAGGCAGAAGGAACAGCAUGUUCCAAAGCCAACAGCAUAGAGACAGAAAGUAGAUUAGUGAGUGCCAGGGGGUGGUGGGGAGCAGAGAAGAAGAAGGGGUGUCUGCUCUUGGGUAUGGAGUUUCUCUUUGAGGCAAUGAAAAUGCUCUGGAAUGAGAUAGUGGUAACAGUUGCACAACUUUGUGAACAUACUAAAAUCCACUGAAUUGCAUACUUUAAAGGGGUAAAUUGUGUGGUAAGCGAAUUAUAUUUCAAUUUUUAGAGAUAAAGAUAAAUGCAAGUUAACAAUAACCAGGAAAAAAAAAAAAACAUGCCACA
RNAcentral lists this long non-coding RNA (1214 nucleotides) under Homo sapiens (human). Its description in RNAcentral is "HSALNT0380956". Lineage: Eukaryota; Metazoa; Chordata; Mammalia; Primates; Hominidae. The record is from RNAcentral.